AAUAUUGGGCAAUGGACGGAAGUCUGACCCAGCCAUGCCGCGUGCAGGAAGACGGCCUUCUGGGUUGUAAACUGCUUUUAUAUAGGAAGAAAACACCCAUGCGUGGGAAACUGACGGUACUAUAUGAAUAAGCACCGGCUAACUCCGUGCCAGCAGCCGCGGUAAUACGUAGGGGUCGAGCGUUGUCCGAGUUACUGGGCGUAAAGCGCAUGCAGGCUGCUCAUUACGCAUGGCGUGAAAGCCCCCGGCUUAACCGGGGAGGGUCGUCGUGAACGGGUGAGCUUGAGGAUAUCAGGGGCUGGUGGAAUUCCCGGUGUAGUGGUGAAAUGCGUAGAUAUCGGGAGGAACACCUGUGGCGAAGGCGGCCAGCUGGGAUAUACCUGACGCUGAGAUGCGAAGGCGUGGGGAGCGAACGG
Molecule: ribosomal RNA, 416 nt
Filed under: uncultured bacterium
Lineage: Bacteria
Description: bacterial SSU rRNA
Rfam family: Bacterial small subunit ribosomal RNA
Source: RNAcentral